Molecule: long non-coding RNA, 540 nt
Organism: Homo sapiens (human)
Lineage: Eukaryota; Metazoa; Chordata; Mammalia; Primates; Hominidae
Exons: 2
Source: RefSeq, a predicted model, not a curated record
AUGUGCAGCUGUGUUAUCAUGGAUUUCCAGUGAACAAGGGCCACAAAAAUCCAUCUAUUUUCAUCAUCCCCAGAGCACCAGGACUACAACAAUAAGAACAGCUCUAUGGAAAUGAUGAGGAACAAGUUUCAGAGAACAGAAGGAAUUUGUCUUGGGCUGCACAGUCACUAAGGAGAGAGCAGGCACCCAAACUGUGCCAUUCCCUGUCCUCUUGGGAGCUAUACUCUUCUGUAUCCCUGCUUCUGUUCAACGUAUCUGGCUCAAGAGACAUUUACAAAGGAAGGAAACACUCGUUGUAUGAAAAACAAACAUGAUAUAAACCUGUUUCGUUAGCUUUCAAGACUACCCUACCCAGGGGUGGCUACCCUAAAGAGAAUAGCAAAGUUGAUAAGAGAAAGAAUGAUAAAACUAUCAGAUUUCUCCCUAUCACAUUUUUCAAAAUAUUUCACCACAUCUGAAGAGGUAUUUUUCAUUCAUUUUCUGUAAGAUAGUAGAAAUGAAAGUGGUCUAAAACGCUAAAUAAAAGGGAUAUUGUUUGUA